Molecule: ribosomal RNA, 272 nt
Filed under: uncultured bacterium
Lineage: Bacteria
Description: partial 16S ribosomal RNA
Rfam family: Bacterial small subunit ribosomal RNA
Source: RNAcentral
UACGAAGGGUGCAAACGUUGCUCGGAAUUAUUGGGCGUAAAGCGCACGUAGGCGGCUUUGCAAGUUGGAUGUGAAAGCCCUCGGCUUAACCAAGGAAGUGCAUCCAAAACUGCCGAGCUUGAGUAGUUAAGAGGAUCGCGGAAUUCCCGGUGUAGAGGUGAAAUUCGUAGAUAUCGGGAGGAACACCAGUGGCGAAGGCGGCGAUCUGGGAACAUACUGACGCUGAGGUGCGAAAGCGUGGGAGCAAACAGGAUUAGAUACCCCCGUAGUCC